CCUGCCCCUAGAAGCAUUGCAGGUGUGGCUGCUGUGUCACAUGUGUGUCAGUAGGUGGCAUAGAGGAGGGAGGCUACAUCUGUGCUCAGUGUUCCGACCUAUGAACAUCUGAAUGAUUAGUAGCCUAACUUU
Grammomys surdaster is the source of this 132-nucleotide small nucleolar RNA. RefSeq annotates it as small nucleolar RNA SNORA17. Lineage: Eukaryota; Metazoa; Chordata; Mammalia; Rodentia; Muridae. The transcript has a single exon. The record is from RefSeq and is a predicted model, not a curated record.